GGAGUUUGGACCGUGUCUCAGUUCCAAUGUGGCCGUUCACCCUCUCAGGCCGGCUAUUGAUCGUUGCUUUGGUAGGCCGUUACCCUGCCAACUGGCUAAUCAAACGCGGGUCCAUCCUUAAGCGAAAUUCUUUUCCUCACAAGACCAUGCGGUCUCGUAAGCAUAUGGCGUAUUAGCAGUGAUUUCUCACUGUUAUUCGCCUCUUAAGGGCAGGUUACCCACGCGUUACUCACCCGUCCGCCACUAGAAUUUCCAAGAAUCCAUCGAAACUUCAUCUCGGAGUUCCCGUUCGACUUGCAUGUGUUAGGCACGCCGCCAGCGUUCAUC
This 327-nucleotide ribosomal RNA is filed under the name uncultured Lachnospiraceae bacterium. RNAcentral describes it as "partial 16S ribosomal RNA". Lineage: Bacteria; Bacillati; Bacillota; Clostridia; Lachnospirales; Lachnospiraceae. The record is from RNAcentral.